This 466-nucleotide ribosomal RNA is filed under the name uncultured bacterium. RNAcentral's name for it is "bacterial SSU rRNA". It matches the Rfam family "Bacterial small subunit ribosomal RNA", at positions 8 to 521 of the family's 1533-position model. The record is from RNAcentral.
AGAGUUUGAUCCUGGCUCAGGAUGAACGCUGGCGGCGUGCUUAACACAUGCAAGUCGAACGAACCUUCGGGUUAGUGGCGGACGGGUGAGUAACGCGUGAGAAUCUGCCCUCAGGAGGGGGAUAACGGUUGGAAACGACCGCUAAUACCCCAUAUGCCGCGAGGUGAAAUGAAUUUCGCCUGAGGAUGAGCUCGCGUCUGAUUAGCUAGUUGGUGGGGUAAAGGCCUACCAAGGCAUCGAUCAGUAGCUGGUCUGAGAGGAUGAUCAGCCACACUGGGACUGAGACACGGCCCAGACUCCUACGGGAGGCAGCAGUGGGGAAUUUUCCGCAAUGGGCGAAAGCCUGACGGAGCAACGCCGCGUGAGGGAUGAAGGCCUCUGGGCUGUAAACCUCUUUUAUCAAGGAAGAAGAUCUGACGGUACUUGAUGAAUAAGCCACGGCUAAUUCCGUGCCAGCAGCCGCGGU